AGGAUCCUCAACGCGACGACGGGUAGCCGGCCUGAGAGGGUGACCGGCCACACUGGGACUGAGACACGGCCCAGACUCCUACGGGAGGCAGCAGUGGGGAAUAUUGCACAAUGGGCGCAAGCCUGAUGCAGCGACGCCGCGUGAGGGAUGACGGCCUUCGGGUUGUAAACCUCUUUCAGUAGGGAAGAAGCGAAAGUGACGGUACCUGCAGAAGAAGCGCCGGCUAACUACGUGCCAGCAGCCGCGGUAAUACGUAGGGCGCAAGCGUUAUCCGGAUUUAUUGGGCGUAAAGAGCUCGUAGGCGGUUUGUCGCGCCUGCCGUGAAAGUCCGAGGCUCAACCUCGGAUCUGCGGUGGGUACGGGCAGACUAGAGUGAUGUAGGGGAGACUGGAAUUCCUGGUGUAGCGGUGAAAUGCGCAGAUAUCAGGAGGAACACUGAUGGCGAAGGCAGGUCUCCGGGCAUUUACUGACGCUUGGGAGCGAAAGCAUGGGGAGCGAACAGGAUUAGAUACCCUGGUAGUCCAUGCCGUAAACGUUGGCGGCUACGUGUGGGGGACGGUUAACCGUCUCCCCCUUGGUGAGCAAUUAUCAUACCGACCAAGCUGGGGGGGCCCCGACCU
This 620-nucleotide ribosomal RNA is filed under the name uncultured Arthrobacter sp. RNAcentral describes it as "bacterial SSU rRNA". It matches the Rfam family "Bacterial small subunit ribosomal RNA", at positions 261 to 873 of the family's 1533-position model. The record is from RNAcentral. Lineage: Bacteria; Bacillati; Actinomycetota; Actinomycetes; Micrococcales; Micrococcaceae.